Molecule: ribosomal RNA, 268 nt
Filed under: uncultured bacterium
Lineage: Bacteria
Description: partial 16S ribosomal RNA
Rfam family: Bacterial small subunit ribosomal RNA
Source: RNAcentral
CCCUACGGGAGGCAGCAGUAGGGAAUCUUCCACAAUGGACGAAAGUCUGAUGGAGCAACGCCGCGUGAGUGAAGAAGGGUUUCGGCUCGUAAAACCCUGUUGUUAGAGAAGAAAGUGCGUGAGAGUAACUGUUCACGUUUCGACGGUAUCUAACCAGAAAGCCACGGCUAACUACGUGCCAGCAGCCGCGGCAAUACGUAGGGGGCAAGCGUUAUCCGGAUUUACUGGGUGUAAAGGGAGCGUAGACGGCAGCGCAAGUCUGAAGUGU